RNAcentral lists this long non-coding RNA (553 nucleotides) under Mus caroli (Ryukyu mouse). RNAcentral's name for it is "predicted gene 11493 (MGP_CAROLIEiJ_G0004790.1)". Lineage: Eukaryota; Metazoa; Chordata; Mammalia; Rodentia; Muridae. The record is from RNAcentral.
CAGCCGCUAAUGAGCAGAAAGUUGUCGAAAACAUUUUGAAAAACAGCCCGAGUCCUUGGCUCAGCGAGAUGGCUCAAUGAGGAAAAGUAUUUGUCCCGAGAGCCCUGAUGCCCUGCAUCUGAGCCCUGAACCACAGGGAAAGGAGAAAACUGACUCCCAAAUUCUGCCCUCUGACCUCUGCCUGUGUGCCACGGCGCUCAGACACGCGAUACUACCUGUGGCUCUCAAAGAGAUCGGCACUGCCCUGCUGCCGGUUUAGGCUGUCAUCACAAACAAGGGCCACUGUCAGCACCGAGUUGGGCAUCGGAGUCACGCAUUCCAGCUUCACAGUUUGCCUGGGACUCCUGAAGAUAUUCCAAGACUGAAUAUCAUACUUCAACCUGCGUCGGAGGAUAGGGACAUUUUAAUACCUCACUUCUUAACGUCACCUAGUUUAUUUAUGAGGCUAUUUGCUUCCAUUUUUACACUUUGAUGGUCUUUAGCUCAUCUUGGGAUAUUAUUUUUACUUCAAUUAAGAUUGUAUCCCUUGGCCGGGCAGUGGUGGCACAUGCCU